This 86-nucleotide ribosomal RNA is filed under the name Rhizopogon aromaticus. RNAcentral describes it as "partial 5.8S ribosomal RNA". It matches the Rfam family "5.8S ribosomal RNA", at positions 1 to 85 of the family's 154-position model. From Rfam's summary of the family: 5.8S ribosomal RNA (5.8S rRNA) is a component of the large subunit of the eukaryotic ribosome. The record is from RNAcentral. Lineage: Eukaryota; Fungi; Basidiomycota; Agaricomycetes; Boletales; Rhizopogonaceae.
AACUUUCAGCAAUGGAUCUCUUGGCUCUCGCAUCCGAUGAAGAACGCAGCGAAAAGCGAUAUGUAAUGUGAAUUGCAGAUCUACAC